ACGGGUGAGUAAUACAUCGGAACGUGCCCAAUCGUGGGGGAUAACGCAGCGAAAGCUGUGCUAAUACCGCAUACGAUCUACGGAUGAAAGCAGGGGAUCGCAAGACCUUGCGCGAAUGGAGCGGCCGAUGGCAGAUUAGGUAGUUGGUGAGGUAAAGGCUCACCAAGCCUUCGAUCUGUAGCUGGUCUGAGAGGACGACCAGCCACACUGGGACUGAGACACGGCCCAGACUCCUACGGGAGGCAGCAGUGGGGAAUUUUGGACAAUGGGCGAAAGCCUGAUCCAGCCAUGCCGCGUGCAGGAUGAAGGCCUUCGGGUUGUAAACUGCUUUUGCACGGAACGAAACGGCCUUUUCUAAUAAAGAGGGCUAAUGACGGUACCGUAAGAAUAAGCACCGGCUAACUACGUGCCAGCAGCCGCGGUAAUACGUAGGGUGCAAGCGUUAAUCGGAAUUACUGGGCGUAAAGCGUGCGCAGGCGGUUAUGUAAGACAGUUGUGAAAUCCCCGGGCUCAACCUGGGAACUGCAUCUGUGACUGCAUAGGUAGAGUACGGUAGAGGGGGAUGGAAUUCCGCGU
This 576-nucleotide ribosomal RNA is filed under the name uncultured bacterium. RNAcentral describes it as "bacterial SSU rRNA". It matches the Rfam family "Bacterial small subunit ribosomal RNA", at positions 102 to 674 of the family's 1533-position model. The record is from RNAcentral.